ACAAGAGCGAACCAAACAAAGGAGUGUAAAACGAUGUGAGGCUUAUUCGCAAAUUAACCUUGGACAAAACAAGUCUGUAAAUUCAACAAGUUCUUUCUAAACCGAACAGACCAAACAAUAUUGCUACCAAAUUCAAUCAACGGUGAAUCGCAAACAAAAAACGCGAAUCCGAAUGAUUGUUUUUAUUCCGUGCAGCCAAAUGCGAAUAUCUGGAUCCUCUACACUCAGACCGCCUUUUCCGCUGAGGUUAAGGUGAUCGUAAAAUUGUUCAGAUUUUGUAUAUCCACACUCAUAAUUGAGGCGUGUGAGGUGUUUCAAGGAGGACUGCGUAAGUUGGGGUCAGCGAAAUGGGAACAGGGUACCCAAUAACAGGCAACGUGUGGAACAACCGGAAAUCAAAAUGUCGAAUAUUCUCGAGGUUAAAAAUCGCCACGUUAACCCUCCUGUAAUUUUAUAAUACUGUUAAAAUCGUAAAAUGUCGACUAAAAAUAAAAUUGUGUCAUAGGUAACUAUAGUUUAUAUGAAAACAGCCACUGUCUAGGAAAGCAAGAAGUAAUAAACCGUCAUCCAUUCGUCUCAUCGGCCAAUCAUCGCCAGAUAUUGCAUCCAACCAGAGUCUUCCAUCCAACAAUGCUUCGAGAUGGUAAUUCGUCAACGCGAAUACAAAGCUUAAUCCAACGCGUUCAAAGUUCUGCGCAUCUUGCAGGUCCAAGAGAAUAAAAUACUUUCCAAUGAUUCAAAG
Molecule: unclassified non-coding RNA, 742 nt
Filed under: Athalia rosae (coleseed sawfly)
Lineage: Eukaryota; Metazoa; Arthropoda; Insecta; Hymenoptera; Athaliidae
Description: misc RNA ENSAEAG00005003346.1
Source: RNAcentral